Molecule: ribosomal RNA, 94 nt
Filed under: uncultured bacterium
Lineage: Bacteria
Description: partial 16S ribosomal RNA
Rfam family: Bacterial small subunit ribosomal RNA
Source: RNAcentral
CCGCCCGUCACAUCAUGAAAGCCGGUUGUACCCGAAGUCGCCGCUGCUAACCGCAAGGAAGCAGGCGCCGAAGGUAUGGCUGGUGAUUAGGAUG